AUCCUUCUGUGGCUCAUGAGCACGAUGGCUGUGUGCUCACACGCAUGUGCGAGACGUGCCUCCCUCAAACCUCGUUACGACGGCGCGCGUGUGACCCGUCUGAUG
Molecule: small nucleolar RNA, 105 nt
Organism: Lemur catta (Ring-tailed lemur)
Lineage: Eukaryota; Metazoa; Chordata; Mammalia; Primates; Lemuridae
Product: small nucleolar RNA U13
Exons: 1
Source: RefSeq, a predicted model, not a curated record